UGGAAUAUGAAUGCAAAAUUACGAGUUAAAGCACCGCCACCAACGGUAAUUAAAAUCGCCAAUGCCCAGCCCUAGUUUCCUACUUGUACAGCUCCGCAUUACUGCCUAUGACAAGCGAUAAAAUUUAGCCGCCAAUUAUUUCAAAACAACAAUUAUUUGGCGGUGCAGUAUAAAAAGAAUUGGCGGUAUAAAUUGGUGAUGUUAGAAAGUUUAGAAUUAUAGGUUUACUUUAAAAUUACAGUAAGUUUGGUGUUUAGUUUAAUCGGUGAUAUUAUUCGGAUAAGGAUUUUUAAAAGAUUAAACGGCAAUUAAAUACGGAAAUGGACGGACGAAAGUUAUUUGGCUCGUAUUGGCGCAAAAGAAAACUGGAAAAACAGCAAAAGGAAAAGAAAGCUUUAGAAAACACUCUUAAACUCACAAGUUUUUUUACACGGGGUAACACAGACGUAGACGAGAGCAGAAGUAUAUGCGAACCUCAACCUGGACCAAGUACGAGCACUAGCCUUGCAAUUGAGAUGAAUACCCAAGAGACCGGUCUUGAGAUGGAGCCACAGGAAAGUUUUUUGCAAAAUAAUACAGUUGGUGAUAGUAUUAUAGUUAGCUGUCAAGUGGCUGUUCGUUUGCUGAGUUGCAGUAUGGUGAUAAAAUUAGAAAGUCUACAUUGUUGGGUGCAAUUCAACAAGUGUGCAAGGUGAUAUGGGAGAAGCUAAAAGCAGUUGUCAUGAACGCACCGAGUAAAGAAAAAUGGAUACAAACAGAUGAAGCAGUUGAACAAAAAGAUUAUUUUCUUAACUGCAUCGGUGCAUUGGACGGAAAGCACAUUCGAUAAAUUCAGCCUCCAAACUCCGGAUCUAUGUACUAUUUUUUUUCUUUGGUGCUAAUGGCUUUAUGUGACGCUAACUACUACUUUAUAUGGGGUCGACGUUGGAGCUUAUGGUAAAGAUAGUGACUGAGGAAUUUUCAAAGGAAGCACCUUAUACAAACAACUCACUGAAAAGUCAUUAUAUAUUGCUGAACCCAAAUCGAUAACAAAUCACUGCGCUAAUAAGUUACCAUAUGUAAUAUUGGCCCAUGAAGCUUUUGCCAUGAUGGAAAAUUUAAUGAUGCCGCAUGGUGGUAAAAUGCUGCCACACGCAAAAAAAAUAUAUAAUUACCGUCUAUCGUAAGCUCGAAGAUAUGUUGAAUACACGUUUGGAAUUAUGUACAACAAUUCGCGAAUUUUGCACCGACCCAUUGCUGAAAACAUUGUUAAAGCUAUUUGUAUAUUGCACAUCUUUGUCAGAAUUAAAGAUGGUAUCACACACGUGGAUACAGUUUAUGCUGCACCAUUGUUGAAUAUGAAUAGAUCACAUACUGGGCGCGCAGUUCGAGACGCAGAUAAAGUUCCAACUGCAUUUACAGAUUACUUUGUAAAUGAUGGAAAGCUAGACUGGCAGGAUGACAUGAUCUAAACAAUAUUGUUUUUGUAUUAAUACUUAAAGUAAACAUAAAUAAAUGUUCUCAUUAUCAUUGCAAAAGAUCAAAACUAGUUGCUCCCAAGCCCGUUUCUGCAGUAUUUUAUUAGAAUAUUCCUUCGAAUUCAAGUUCAAUAUGGCUGAUCUUUUUUCUACUUAAUCGAUAAACAAGUCCACCAACCAUUUU
RNAcentral lists this long non-coding RNA (1641 nucleotides) under Anthonomus grandis grandis. Its description in RNAcentral is "uncharacterized LOC126740920". The record is from RNAcentral. Lineage: Eukaryota; Metazoa; Arthropoda; Insecta; Coleoptera; Curculionidae.